GAUGAACGCUGGCGGCGUGCCUAAUACAUGCAAGUCGAGCGAACAGACGAGGAGCUUGCUCCUCUGACGUUAGCGGCGGACGGGUGAGUAACACGUGGAUAACCUACCUAUAAGACUGGGAUAACUUCGGGAAACCGGAGCUAAUACCGGAUAAUAUAUUGAACCGCAUGGUUCAAUAGUGAAAGACGGUUUUGCUGUCACUUAUAGAUGGAUCCGCGCCGCAUUAGCUAGUUGGUAAGGUAACGGCUUACCAAGGCAACGAUGCGUAGCCGACCUGAGAGAGUGAUCGGCCACACUAGAACUGAGACACGGUCCAGACUCCUACGGGAGGCAGCAGUAGGGAAUCUUCCGCAAUGGGCGAAAGCUUGACGGAGCAACGCCGCGUGAGUGAUGAAGGUCUUCGGAUCGUAAAACUCUGUUAUUAGGGAAGAACAAAUGUGUAAGUAACUAUGCACGUCUUGACGGUACCUAAUCAGAAAGCCACGGCUAACUACGUG
Molecule: ribosomal RNA, 497 nt
Filed under: uncultured bacterium
Lineage: Bacteria
Description: partial 16S ribosomal RNA
Rfam family: Bacterial small subunit ribosomal RNA
Source: RNAcentral